AAGGAAUGCUACCUGGUU
This 18-nucleotide ribosomal RNA is filed under the name Pseudobombax minimum. Its description in RNAcentral is "partial 18S ribosomal RNA". The record is from RNAcentral. Lineage: Eukaryota; Viridiplantae; Streptophyta; Magnoliopsida; Malvales; Malvaceae.